CGGGGCGUAGCGCAGUUGGUAGCGCACCUGCUUUGGGAGCAGGGGGUCCCCAGUUCGAAUCUGGGCGCCCCGA
This 73-nucleotide transfer RNA is filed under the name bacterium. RNAcentral describes it as "tRNA-Pro". It matches the Rfam family "tRNA". Rfam says of the family: Transfer RNA (tRNA) molecules are approximately 80 nucleotides in length. The record is from RNAcentral.